Corvus hawaiiensis (hawaiian crow) is the source of this 4022-nucleotide long non-coding RNA. RefSeq lists it as uncharacterized. The transcript is spliced from 3 exons. NCBI's taxonomy places the organism in Eukaryota, Metazoa, Chordata, Aves, Passeriformes, Corvidae. The record is from RefSeq and is a predicted model, not a curated record.
UUAUUAGAAAAAAAGGAACGCUCUGUCUUUGCUGAAAUGCCCAUAAUGGAGCACAACAGCUCAGAGUAUCUCUUUGGAGGAGAUUACAAUUUGCAAGCAUUUUCUUUCUGAAAAAUUAAAACUUCCAUUUUUUGGGGGUUGUUUUUCCGAAAUAUCAAAGGAAAGAUAAAGCCAUGUACACUUUCAUGCAAUAUUUCAUUUUUAAUUCUCAUGAAGUCUCGUUUUUAAAUAUCAGACAAUACAUCUUUUCUAAAUCAAAGAAUCUUCUGGGUGUUAUAAGAAAACUCUUUAAAAACCCCAAAACUAAACAGAUAAAAGGUUUCCACUUUACUCCAGAAAAGAGUUUUUAAGUCUCUCUAUUUUGGGAUCUAAGUUCUGGUAUGAUUUAGUAACAUCUCCUUGCCAUGCUGGUAUUGAAAGGUCAUAAUUUACCUAUUUAGUUUACUACAAUUACACAAGAAACUUUGUAGCAUCCUGAUUUUUAAAUUUAGUCUAUUUCGUUUCAGAUGGAGAAAAUUCAACAACUGAAUGGCAAAAAACCCAUUUAUUUAAAACCUUCUCUGGUUUAGUGCCCCAGGAUCUUCUCUGGGAUAUUUCCCACCUUCAUUUCUAUUGCACAGAUCCAUAUCUACAGCCUGCAAUCCAAAGGGCGAGUGGCACAGGCCCCCCAGAGUGCAGAUUUGACCCAGCUGGUUCAUCACAAAGUCAGCACUGAGUUUUGUGUGGCUCAGCCCUGCCUGGCAAGCCCCAGCCCAGCUGCUUGCCCCUGUUUACGAUAAAAGGCAACCCCACGGGAGCCAGCCUCACCCACGGAAACACCCGUGCUCACAGAAGUCACCGUCUUUCUGACUCUGCCUGGGGUUUUCUGUCACUUGUUUUCAGUCCCCACAGUGCCAGGACAAUUGUUCCACUGCCCAGCUGUGCCCCAGAGUCACAGCCGGGGGAUGCUCUGAUUCUCGGCAGAGUUUACAGAACCUUCCUCCACCCAAGUCCACCUCCUUGCCACUACACCCCUUCCCACUGCAGAAACCUUUCCGGCUCAUCUCCACUUCUGCAAAUUUCAGACCGAUAGCCACAAGAUGCAGUGAGGUCAAAAAGAGACAGACCACCGAGAAGCAUUCAGCAACUCCCAAAGCUACAGAUGCAGCAAGGGCUCCUGUGCCAGCUACAGAAGGACAGAGCCAAAUGUGUAGAGGCAGGCAAGCACACGACUACUGAAAAGCUGAGUCUGCAGCUCCCAGAAUAAAGCUGUCACUUGAGCCAGCAGGUGCCUCCGUCCCCGCCUCCGACCUACAACAGUUAUGACACGAGAUUAAGAAAAACAGCCACCCCUGGCAGCCAGGCUGGCGCGUAAUGAACAGUUUAACCCUGGAUAAACCUAAUGACAAGUGUGGGUGGCUUUGAUUGAAAUGACAAGGCAGUUUGUCACCCGUUGCUCUGUCACAGAGAUCAGCAGUGCUAGCAUUUUCUGCUGAGUUGAGGGGAAAGCAGCCCGACACUUGCGCAUUUCAGAAGGAGCGCACAGAAACAUUGAAAACAAAAGGAGUCACGGUCUCGGUGUUGAAGCACCUCUGUGACCCUAAACAAGUCAGCAGUGGAAGAGACACAGUCUCUAAGAUGCUCUUGUGAGAAAACACCACUGUCUCUGGAGAUGGACAGAAAAUUUUAAACAAAAAACCCAAACCAAACCCACAAAGCUCUCUUACUUUAAAUCACCCAGAGGCUUUUGACAGAGGUACUCAGCUAUCCAGUUGACCUCCACGUGAAACUCCCAAUAGCAACCUGCUUUGCUAUAAGGGUUGUGUUUCUCACUGAUGAAUGUUCAGUGCCCAUAAAAUGAUAACAGCAGAACUUGAUUGCCAUUGUAAAUCAUUAAAUAGUCUUGAGACCCAGCUAUCAAUCACUGCAGUUUUAGAUGAUGCUGUUUAUGGCGUUACCCGUGCACCUGCUUCAAUGUAGCAGCUGUCCUCAAAAGGCUGCAUGUACCUCAGACCUGCAAAGACUUGUGUUUCUGGUUAAUCCUAGCUUCAAUUAGUGCAUUAAUUAAUACACUGUACGAGGUGCAACACAAUCAGAACCCAAGUAAACAAGCAACAAAGGGGUACAGGCACAGAAACGGGCAAUGGCCAUUUGACAUUCAUGUGGCAGAUGAGCGACAGCCCUGGAUCCAGAAGCACCACAAAUGGGAAAGCCAUGUGACAGUAUCAUGCGAUGACCAGCAAUGUGAGAGGCACCAUGGUUUUCCUGUACAAGAGUAAAAUUAACAUCACAACCUCAGACCCCACGACAUUAUUGAACUUACUCCCUGCAUGAGUUUGAAGACUGUGGCCUUACCAUGCUUUCAUUUUCUACACCCACACACGGCUUUCCUGAAAGCCCCUCUGAUUCUGGUCCUCAGCUUAAGGCAGGUCUAAAGGGGAAGAAUUCAAAACAUCUUCAGCCUCUGUAUCUGGAGAAAAUUUAUGGUAGCUCCUCUGCCACCCACUCUCCCCAUUCCUUUUCAACACCUUGGAAAACCCCUGCUAUUUUAAAUUUACAUACCUUUCCAGUUACAGAUACCAACAUUUUGAGGCAGUCAAAUGUUCAUCAUCCUACUGCCUUGCUAAGAUCAGUAGCAGCCCACCUGAGGGUUGCCUAGCCAGCAGUAAUCCCAGGACAGACAUCUGGGUUGAUGCAGACACACUGUCCAGUCUCACAGCAAUCCCCUGGGAACUCAAGACCUUAUUCCUGAUUUUCAUAUGCAUUUUGCUUGGAAACAACAACAACAAAAAAGUAUUUCUUUAUAAAAAUGUUGCUAGAAAUAAGAAACAAAUCAUGAAGGUCGAUGGAUGCACUUUCUCCACUGAAACUUCCUAUUUAAUGCAGCAGUUGUAGUAUUGCCUUUUCAAGGGAAAAACAGACUCAAAGCAAGAUUUCCCUUCUGGCCAUAACACCCUUCUGUCAGUUUACUACAGAACAACACAUCCAUGAAAUGCACCUGCAUGCUUGAACAAAGUGCUGCUGAAAUUACCUUACUUACAUAAAAGCCCAAAGUGAUGACAUUGUUCAACUUUGCAUCAUGGAGAGAAAAACAAAGAGGAAAAGAGAGUGAGAGGACUCCACAUAAUUCCGGUAAGACUUUCUUUCCUGGAGUUGGCUUCACAUGGCUGGAUGGGAAACAACAUAAAUGGCAACAACACACAGUGGAUAAACACAGAAAUUAUUUCUGCUCCCAAAGACUUGAUAUGGGGUUUCCUGACUGAAGCUUGCUGAUAUGCAACUAAAGAAACAACCAAAUGUUGUAGUACUUUUAUGGCUACGCUAUACAAUACGAUAUGCAUCACAAUUUUUCCUUGCAAAGGUUUAAAAUUCUGCUGUAUUAAUAGUGAGCUGCAAGAUCCCAGCUCAGGAAUCCAGUUUAUAUAUAUAUUUUAAAGGAGCCAUUCAAAACUUCAGUUAUUUCUGAGUGACAAAAUGAACAUUUGAUAAUUAGGAAUGCAUGGUAUCGACCAUCAGGAAGCUUAUCUCCCUGACUGAAAUGAUGUUUGCCGAGAGUGUUUAAAAAGUGACAUUGUCAGACUAUACCAAACUCUUGCUUUAGAUUGAUCUGAAGUAAAAUACUGGAUGUUCGGUCUUAGUUUGAGCUGAAUUUCUAUAUGAACUAAUUCAAAAUAAGUGUUUUGAAAACAAAGUACCCAAUUAGUUUGGGCCCUGCUCCAAAACCCACAUGCCCACGCAAAGAGCCUCGAUUUGCUCCCACCCAUCCAGUGGUCACCAACUGGAGAUUUUUCUGUUCUGUUUCCCCUAAGCCUCAGUUUGCUUUGUGAGGAGAUGUACACCAUGGGGAAUUGGAAUGAAUUUACAACACACACUGGUGCUUUUAUUAUUUGGGAAGCACUUUAUAAAUACUUGGCUCCGUUUAUUUCAAGUUUGGCUAUCAUGCAGAUGACAGCAACACUCUAAGUGAAAUGAAUGCAAAACACCCAUGCUCUUGGCUGGAACAAACUCAGUAUGAAAUUUGGAUGAACAACCAGAAAAAGGGG